This 472-nucleotide long non-coding RNA is filed under the name Callithrix jacchus (white-tufted-ear marmoset). RNAcentral's name for it is "lncRNA (ENSCJAG00000062312.2)". The record is from RNAcentral. Lineage: Eukaryota; Metazoa; Chordata; Mammalia; Primates; Cebidae.
GUGUUGGGGAGUUCAGUUCCCCAGGCCAAGAGCAGCUGAGUGGCCAGGCCCAGCCUCCAAAGGGCACUGAAGACCCCAGAGGGUUCACAGAGAGUUUUGGAGCCAGCAGCAUCUCCCAGGCAGUGCAGGAAAGGGACUGUGAGAGCGUCUCCUUCAUCGGCCGGCCAUGGCGUGGCGUGCACGGCCACCUGAACCUGCCCAUGUACAAGGGCAUGAUGGAGGCCAUGCUGUACCACAUCAUGACCAGGCCUGGCAUCCCCGAGGGCUGCCUGCUGUGCCACUACCAGGGGGUUCUGCAGCCUGUCGCCGUGCUGGAGCUGCUCCAGGGCCUGGAGUCCCUCGGCUGCAUCCGGAAGUGCUGGCUGAGAAAGCCAAGGGCUGUCUCACUCUUCUCAACACCUGUGGUGGAAGAAAUGGAGGCAUCCUCCAGCCUGGGCGAGAGCCCCAUGGCCUUCUACGAGCCCACCUUGGA